ACGAACGCUGGCGGCAGGCCUAACACAUGCAAGUCGAACGCUCGUAGCAAUACGAGAGUGGCAGACGGGUGAGUAACGCGUGGGAACCUUCCCUAUGGUUCGGAAUAGCCCAGGGAAACUUGGGGUAAUACCGGAUAAGCCCUUCGGGGGAAAGAUUUAUCGCCAUUGGAUGGGCCCGCGUCGGAUUAGCUAGUUGGUGAGGUAACGGCUCACCAAGGCGACGAUCCGUAGCUGGUCUGAGAGGAUGAUCAGCCACACUGGGACUGAGACACGGCCCAGACUCCUACGGGAGGCAGCAGUGGGGAAUAUUGGACAAUGGGCGAAAGCCUGAUCCAGCAAUGCCGCGUGAGUGAUGAAGGCCUUAGGGUUGUAAAGCUCUUUUACCCGGGAUGAUAAUGACAGUACCGGGAGAAUAAGCUCCGGCUAACUCCGU
Molecule: ribosomal RNA, 433 nt
Filed under: uncultured bacterium
Lineage: Bacteria
Description: bacterial SSU rRNA
Rfam family: Bacterial small subunit ribosomal RNA
Source: RNAcentral